UAUAGGGGGGAUAUAGGGGGGUAUAGGGGGGUAUAGAGGGGAUAUAGGGGGAUAUAGGGGGGAUGGGGGUACCUGGGGUCUGGGUUUGGGGUCCAGGAGGUGGAAUAUGGGAUCCCAAUAGUGGAAUAUGGGGUCUUCAGUGAUGGAUUUUGGGGUCUUCAAUGACGGAUUUUGGGGUCUUCAAUGGUGCUUAUGGGGUCCAAGAGGUGGAUUAUGGGGUCUCGGGGCUGAUUUUGGGCUCUUCAUGGUGCAUUUUGGGGUCGAAAGGCUGGAAUUUGGGGUCUUCAAUGCUGAUUUUGGGGUCCCAAUAAUGAAAUAUGGGAUCUUCAAUGAUUAAUUAUGGGGUCUUCAAUGCUGCUUUUGGGGUCCAAAGGCUGGAAUUGGGGUCUUUGCUGCUCACAUUAUUAUGGGGCUCCUUUUGGGGUCUCAAAGAAGCUUUUAGGGUCCCACUUUAAGGUCCCAGUCCCAGUUAUAGGGUCCAAUUUCCAGGCCCUAAUACUGGUUUUGGGGUCCCAUUUAUGGGGUCCCACUUCCACUUAUGGGAUCCCAGCCCCUUAUUGUAGGCUCCCCAUUCACAACAUUGACUGUAGGGUCCCCAUUCACAACAUUGACUGUAGGGUCCCCAUUCACAACAUUGAUUGUAGGGUCCCCAUUCACAACGUUGAUAGUAGGCUCCCCAUUCACAACAUUGAUUGUAGAGUCCCCAUUCACAACAUUGAUUGUAGGCUCCCCAUUCACAACAUUGAUUGUAGGGUCCCCAUUCACAACAUUGAUAGUAGGGUCUCCAUUCACAACACUGUUUAUAGGGUCUCCAUUCACAACACUUUAUUGCCCCC
RNAcentral lists this long non-coding RNA (836 nucleotides) under Coturnix japonica (Japanese quail). RNAcentral describes it as "lncRNA (ENSCJPG00005006675.1)". The record is from RNAcentral. Lineage: Eukaryota; Metazoa; Chordata; Aves; Galliformes; Phasianidae.